Molecule: ribosomal RNA, 433 nt
Filed under: uncultured bacterium
Lineage: Bacteria
Description: partial 16S ribosomal RNA
Rfam family: Bacterial small subunit ribosomal RNA
Source: RNAcentral
GACGAACGCUGGCGGCGUGCCUAACACAUGCAAGUCGAACGAGACCUUCGGGUCUAGUGGCGCACGGCUGCGUAACGCGUGGGGACCUGCCCUUAGGUUCGGAGUAACUCCCCGAAAGGGGUGCUAAUACCGGAUAAUGUCUUCGGGCCAAAGAUUUAUCGCCUUUGGAUGGGCCCGCGUUGGAUUCGCUGGUUGGUAGGGUACAAGCCUACCAAGGCGACGUUCCAUAGCUGGUCUGAGAGGAUGAUCAGCCACACUGGGAAUGAGACACGGACCAGACUCCGACGGAAGGCAGCAGUGGGGAAUAUUGGACGAUGGGGGAAAGCCUGGUACAGCAAUGCCGCGUGUGUGAGGAAUGCCUUAGUGUUGUAAAGCCCUUUUACCCGGGAUGAUAAUGACAGUACCGGGAGAAGAAGCUCCGGCUAACUCCGUG